UUUCCACAAUCUUUGGAAAGGAGUUGAGAAGAAUUAACAUUUUCUGAGGACUUGCACUUACCUUACACUCCACUGGGAUCCUUCCUACAUAUCAGAUACACACAGCAACCCAAAGAGAAACUGGGCAUACAGUCUUCAGUCUCAUGAAACAUGCAGCCAAAGUUUAAGUUGGGUUGAAGUUGGAGGGAGCCUAGAACCUACUUCUGGACUUGACAGGCCUGGCUCUUCCAGAUGUCACAGGAAUUACAGAGAACUACAAACAUUCAGUGACUAGUGACCAGAUGCUCUGCAAUGCUAGAACAGGCUUCGGAAAAAGAAGACUCAUACCAUUUUCUGCACUACUUUGGAAUAUCCCACCAGAUGUUAUUGUAUGUAUAAAAAUUGUUCAUACUUAGCUGAGUUUGAAAACAACUUUCAUUUUACAUAGAAACCCAAAGUAUUUGUUGCACAUUUUAAUAAUCACUAAAAUGUUUUUGGAGGUGCAAAAUUUCUUGUAAAAAUGGGAAAGUCUGUCCUUAGUUUUGUUUGGAAUUUUGUCAAGAGUUGUAAACCAUAUCACAAACUUUAGCAUCAAUAGGGGUUCUGUUAGACCUAUUUGAGGUACCUGUAUCUGAGAAUUGAUAAAAAUAAAUUUUUACUUUGAAGUUCAUUCAAUGGAUCUAAAGGUAAUUAUUUUCAAAUUUGCAGAAUUAUGAGUUGCAGUGAUCUCAUUGAA
Callithrix jacchus (white-tufted-ear marmoset) is the source of this 715-nucleotide non-coding RNA. NCBI's taxonomy places the organism in Eukaryota, Metazoa, Chordata, Mammalia, Primates, Cebidae. The record is from RefSeq and is a predicted model, not a curated record.